AACGAACGCUGGCGGCAUGCCUAACACAUGCAAGUCGAACGAGACCUUCGGGUCUAGUGGCGCACGGGUGCGUAACGCGUGGGAACCUGCCCUUAGGUUCGGAAUAACUCCCCGAAAGGGGUGCUAAUACCGGAUAAUGUCUUCGGACCAAAGAUUUAUCGCCUUUGGAUGGGCCGGCGUUGGAUUAGCUAGUUGGUAGGGUAAAAGCCUACCAAGGCGACGAUCCAUAGCUGGUCUGAGAGGAUGAUCAGCCACACUGGGACUGAGACACGGCCCAGACUCCUACGGGAGGCAGCAGUGGGGAAUAGUGGACAAUGGGCGGAGGCCUGAUCCAGCAAUGCCGCGUGAGUGAUGAAGGCCUUAGGGUUGUAAAGCUCUUUUACCCGGGAUGAUAAUGACAGUACCGGGAGAAUAAGCUCCGGCUAACUCCGUG
This 433-nucleotide ribosomal RNA is filed under the name uncultured bacterium. Its description in RNAcentral is "partial 16S ribosomal RNA". It matches the Rfam family "Bacterial small subunit ribosomal RNA", at positions 29 to 507 of the family's 1533-position model. The record is from RNAcentral.